This 427-nucleotide ribosomal RNA is filed under the name uncultured bacterium. Its description in RNAcentral is "bacterial SSU rRNA". It matches the Rfam family "Bacterial small subunit ribosomal RNA", at positions 355 to 799 of the family's 1533-position model. The record is from RNAcentral.
UGGGGAAUAUUGGACAAUGGGCGCAAGCCUGAUCCAGCCAUGCCGCGUGAGUGACGAAGGCCUUAGGGUUGUAAAGCUCUUUUGGCGGGGACGAUAAUGACGGUACCCGCAGAAUAAGCCCCGGCUAACUUCGUGCCAGCAGCCGCGGUAAUACGAAGGGGGCUAGCGUUGUUCGGAAUCACUGGGCGUAAAGCGCACGUAGGCGGAUUUGUUAGUCAGAGGUGAAAUCCCGGGGCUCAACCUCGGAACUGCCUUUGAUACUGCAAGUCUCGAGUCCGAGAGAGGUGAGUGGAAUUCCUAGUGUAGAGGUGAAAUUCGUAGAUAUUGGGAAGAACACCAGUGGCGAAGGCGGCUAACUGGUCCGGUACUGACGCUGAGGUGCGAAAGCGUGGGGAGCAAACAGGAUUAGAUACCCCCGUAGUCCCUG